ACUUUUAAUAAUAGAUCUCUUAGUUCUAGCAUUAAUAAAGAACGCAGCAAAAUGCAAUAAGUAGUGUAAAUUGUAGAAUUUAGUAAAUUAUUAAAUCUUUAAACGCAUAUUGCGCCCCUUAGUAUUCUAUAGGGCAUGCCUGUUUAAGCGUUAUUUGCGUACCCUCUAAGCUCUACUUAGUAUUAGGUGUUUAUUCUACUUAGGACUUGCCUUAAAACAAUUAGUAGCUAGUAUAUUAGCCUAGAGCGCAGCAUAUUUUGCGCCUCUUAUUAUAGUUAUUAGCAUCUAUUAAGACACUUUUUAAGCUCUUAACCUUAGAUUAGGUAGGGAUACCUACUAAACUUAAGCAUAUUAAUAAGCGGAGGAAAAGAAACUAAUAGGGAUUGCCCUAGUAAUAGCAAGUAAAGCGGCAAUAGCUUAAAUUUAAAAUCUAGCUCUUUUAGGGUCUAAGUUAUAAUUUGCAGAGGGCGCUUUAGCGUUAGUAGUAGUCCAAGUUCCUUAGAACAGGACGUUAUAGAGGGUAAGAAUCCUAUACGUGGUCGCUAGCCUUCGCUAUGUAAAGCCCCUUUAAUAAGUUAAGUUAUUUAGGAAUAUAGCUCUAAAUAGGAGGUAAAUUUCUUCUAAAGCUAAAUACUAGCUAGAGACUAAUAGCGCACAAGUAGAGUAAUUAAAAGAUAAAAAGCACUUUAGAAAGAGAGUUAAAUAGCACGUAAAAUUGUUAAAAGGGAAGCGCUUAUAGCUAGACUUGCCUAUAGUUACUUAUCUAGGCUUUUGUCUAGUGCACUCUUCUAUAGGUAGGCUAGCAUUAGUUUAGGCAGUUAGAUAAAGGUCUCUAUUACGUACCUCCCUUUAGGGAGGCCUUAUAGGGGAGACAAUAUGCAACUAGCCUAGACUAAGGUCUACACAUCUACUAGGAUGCUAGCGUAAUAGCUAUAAGUGGCCUGUCUUAAAAUAUAGACUAAGGAGUCUAACAUCUAUACAAGUAUUUAGGUGUUAAGCCUAGACGCGUAAUAAAAGUAAAUAGAGGUAGGAACCCUUUUAGGGUGCACUAUUAACUAAUCCUAAUAUCUUUGGAAGGAUUUAAGUAAGAGCAUAGCUAUUAGGACCUAAAAGAUAGUGAACUAUGCUUAAAUAGGGUAAAGCUAGAGGAAACUCUAGUAGAGGCUCGCAGCGGUUCUAACGUGCAAAUUAAUCAUUAAAUUUAGGUAUAGGGGCGAAAGACUAAUUAAACUAUCUAGUAGCUAGUUCCUACGAAAGUUUCCCUUAGGAUAGCAGUAACGUAUUUAGUUUUAUAAGGUAAAGCAAAUAAUUAGAGGCCUAGGGGUUAAAAUAACCUUUACCUAUUCUUAAACUUUAAAUAUGUAAGAAGUCCUUAUUACUUAAUUAAACGUAGACACUUAAAUAUACUGUUACUAGUGGGCUAUUUUUAGUAAGUAGAACUAGCGAUGCGGGAUAAACUAAACAUAGGGUUAAGGUGCUAGAAUACACGCUUAUUAGACACUACAAAAGGUGUUAGUUUAUCUAGAUAGCAGGACAGUAGCUAUAGAAGUUAGAAUCUACUAAGGAGUGUGUAAUAACUUACCUGCUAAAUAAACUAGCCCUAAAAAUAGAUAGCGCUUAAGCGUGUUACCUAUACCCUGCCGCUAGGGCAAGAUUUAAGCCCUAGCGAGUAGGCAGGCGUAGAGGCUUGUAACGAAGCCUUAGGGGUAACCCUAGGUAGAACAGCCUCUAGUGUAGAUCUUAGUGGUAGUAGUAAAUACUUAAAUAAGAACUUUAAGGACUAAAGUAGGGAAAGGUUCUAUGUAAAUAGUAGUUAGACACAGGUUAGUUAAUCCUAAGAGAUAGGGUAAUUCUAUUUUAAUAUUAGUGCUUACGCCGCGCCCUUAAAAGGGAAGCUAGUUAAUAUUCUAGUACCUAGAUGUAGAUUCUCCGCGGCAACGCAACUAAGAGCGGAGACCUUAGCAGGAGCCCUAAGAAGAGUUCUCUUUUCUUCUUAACAGUCUAUUACCCUAAAAUUAGUUUGUCUAGAGCUAGGGUUUAAUAGCUAGAAGAGUGCUGCACUUUUAUAGCGUUUAGUGCGCUCCUAACAAGCCUUAAAAAUCUACUUAAAGAAAUAGUUUUUACGCUAGGUCGUACUUAUAACUAUAGCAGGUCUCUAAGGUAAAAAGCCUCUAGUUAAUAGAAUAAUAUAGAUAAGGGAAGUUAGCAAAAUAGAUCUGUAACUUUAGGAAAAGGAUUAGCUCUAAGGGUUAGGUACGUUGGGCCUUAGGGAGAAGCCUCUAGCGUAGAAGGGCACUAACUGCAAGGUAGGCGCCUCUUAGCGCUGGGGUGUAGACACCCUUAGCAGGUUUUGGCCCUCAUAGCGUACGUUUAACAACUAACUUAGAACUAGUAUAGAUAAGGGGAAUCUAACUAUCUAAUUAAAAUAUAGUAUUAUAAUAGCUAGAAAGUAGUAUUAAUAUAAUAUGAUUUCUACCUAGUGCUCUAAAUAUUAAAGCAAAGAGAUUUAACUAAGCGCAGGUAAAUAGCAGGAGUAACUAUAACUCUCUUAAGGUAGCUAAAUACCUUGUUAUCUAAUUAGUAACGCGCAUAAAUAGAUUAACAAGAUUCCUACUAUCCCUAUCUACUAUCUAGCGAAACUAUAGCUAAGGGAACAGGCUUAGCUAAAUUAGCGGGGAAAGAAGACCCUAUUAAGCUUAACUCUAGUUUAACAUUGUAAAAAGAUAUAAGGGGUGUAGAAUAGGUAGGAGCUUUAGCGCUAGUGAAAUACUACUACCCUUAUUAUUUUUUUACUUAUUUAAUAAAGCAGAGCUUAGCCUUACUACCUAACUUCUAGCGUUUAAGGUUCUUUAUAGGCUAAUCUAGGUUAAAGAUAUUAUUAGGUAGAGAGUUUAGCUAGGGCAGCAUAUCUAUUAAACUAUAACGCAGGUGUCCUAAGGGGGACUUAUAGAGAAUAGAAAUCUCUAGUAGAGUAAAAGGGUAAAAGUCCCCUUAAUUUUAAUUUUUAGUGUGAAUACAAACUAUAAAAGUGUAGCCUAUUAAUCCUUUAGUCCCUUAAAAUUUAAGGCUAGAGGUGCUAGAAAAGUUACUAUAGGGAUAACUAGCUUGUGGCAGCUAAGCGUUUAUAGCGACGUUGCUUUUUAAUCCUUUAAUAUUAGCUCUUUCUAUUAUACUAAAGCAGAAUUUAGUAAGCGUUAGAUUGUUUACCCACUAAUAGGGAACGUAAGCUAGGUUUAGACUGUUGUAAGACAGGUUAGUUUUACCCUACUAAUAACCUUGCCCUAAUAGUAAUACUGCUUAGUAUAAGAGGAACUGCGGUUUUAGAUAAUUAGUUUUUGCGGCUAUCUAACUAGGUAUUACUGCAAAGCUACUAUCUACUAGAUUAUAGCUAAACAACUCUAAGUUAGAAUCUAUGCUAGAAUAGGGUGAUUUCCGCCUGCACUAGUUAGAUACAAAUAGGCCUUUAGCCUAGAACCUUACUAGAUUAGCGUUAGUAGCCCUAUUAAAGUUAGGGUUGUUAGCUAGUGUAUUGCAAUUGUACAGUACGUAGGAUUAAAUCCUUUACAGAUAACUUAGUUGUCUAGCUAGGUCGUGUAAGUAGUUAAGUAGCCUUGUUAUUAUAAGCUACUAAGCGUAAGCCUAUUGCUAGCUUAGUUAAAAUUAGGAUAUUAUGCCCUCCUUAUUUGCAAAACUGCUGCCUAAACAGCUGCUAUUAAUAGAAGGAAGAGGGCUAUAGCAAAGAAGUUAUAUAGUAAUUGCAAGAUAGAGAGGGCUAGAGCUAGGAGUAAUCCUCGUAAAAUAUACAAAAGAACAGGUUAUGUGUGUACAUACCUUAGGCAGUUAAUAUAUAGCAUAGGAAGAUUAAGAAAGGAUUUAAGAUAAUCUAUAUAGAUUUUUAGGCGGUGAUCUAUAACUUAAGAGCGUUCUAUAACUUUUUAUUUUUUAGGGGUACUAUUCUAUAACUUUAUAGCCUUCUAUACUUAAAAAUUCCUCUAGGCUAUUCUAUAACUAUAGAUUAUUUAAACCUUUAGGGUAUUCUAUUAAUAUUUAAAAAAAUCCUAUAGGCUAUUCUAUAAGCUUAGGGCGUUCUAUAACUUUAGGGCGUUCUAUAACUUUAGGGCGUUCUAUAACUUUUUAUUUUUUAGGGUUAGUGUUCUAUAACUUUAGCGCGUUCUAUACCUUUUAUUUAUUCUAUUACUUUAGUCCUUUCUAUAACUUUAGACUAUUCUAUACUAGUAGCUAUUAUAUCCUUUUUAUAAUACUUAUUAUAUUAUACUAUUAUCUAUUAUUCUUUACUAUUAAGUAUAUCCUUAUAUUUUAUAAAACCUUUUCUCUACUAGCUAGUCCUACUAUACUUUCUUUUAUAACCUACUAGUAUUAAAUAAUACCUUUAUAUUCUUCUUUUAUACUAUCUCUAUUUCUUGCCUUAUCUAUUAAGUAGAUAUAGAUAGAGCUAAUAGAUCUAUAGUUAAUAUAGAUACAGUAGUUAUAGUAGAGUAUAGAUAUUAGAGUAGAUAUCCUUAUCUAUAUAUUUACCUACUACUAAUAAAAUUCCAAGUUACUCUUAUCUAGCGAAUACAGGUUUAUAGUUUAUAUAGGGCUACGCAUGUCUACACAGUUUUAUAUACAAAAAAGUGUACCUCUAAGCUGUUUUCCACUGCACUAACCCCGCGACGCAAAAAUUAAACUAAAACCCGUUCCUAUAAUAUAUAAGGAGGGCAAAUAGAUUCUUAAAUACUAAAUGCCUAACUAACUAACUAAGGUUAAAUCUGCUGCGCGCAGUUCUUGGAUUAGGCGGUUAAACUAGCGUUGUUAGGCACUAAGGGGGCAAUUUUUGCUCGUGUCCGCAUCUAUACUCCCUAUAACUCCCUAUUAUUAGCGCUCUGCGCCUAUUUCAGCGGCAGUUAGACUAAAUUUAAAAGUUUUGGUUUUAUAAUAGCUAGCCUUGUUUCCUAGAUUUCUACCUAGUUUAGAUUCGCUCUAAUUAGUAGGUAAUCAGGGGCUUAGAGAUUGCUCUUCUACUUAACUAGGUAGGCCUAGGCCUAUAUGCUAAAGCAACCCUGCUAUUGCGCCUAGUUUUAUAGUUAGCACCUAAAGUCCUACUGUUAAAGUUUUAGUAGUAGGCAAAAUUUAGGGUCUAUAGAUAGCUAGCACUGCUAAACUAUUUAACAGAUCUUAGGGGACAGCCCUACCUAGCAUCCGCUCCUAGUAAGCGUAGUAAAGCGUAGGUUUUCUCUACUUAAGGCAUGUAUGUAGCAAGUUUAAACACGUAGAAACGCCUAUUAGGCUUUAUUGCGGACUAUUCCUUAAGAAACUUAGUAGGGGCAAUUAAAUUAGUUGCUAGUUGUAACUAGUGCCUUGUGUGCUGUUAUGCUAGUAGCUAGAAUCGCUUCUGCAAUUUCUUAUCACGUACUUUCCACCUCCUUUUAGGGGUAGUGCUUGUGCGCUUCGGCGUAUUAGGUAUCAGGAUUGUUACCUAGUUAAUUCUGCUAGUAGUUAUAUACUUGU
This 5508-nucleotide ribosomal RNA is filed under the name Plenodomus lingam JN3. RNAcentral's name for it is "28S_rRNA". The stretch from base 310 to 3659 matches the Rfam family "Eukaryotic large subunit ribosomal RNA". Lineage: Eukaryota; Fungi; Ascomycota; Dothideomycetes; Pleosporales; Leptosphaeriaceae. The record is from RNAcentral.